UUUGUCUUUUCAUAGGAGGCUGGGAUGAAAGAGUUGACAAUACUUAAGCUUUUAAAUUUAACUUAGAAAUUGAUAUCUAUGUCAAAAAGCGUAGCUUUUUAGAAAGACGAUAAGACCCUAUAAAACUUGUAUCGCUAAGCUUAAAGAAUGUUUGGACAGGUUUGGGGGUGAGGUGAUUGUGCUGGGGCGGCAUUUAAAAUUCAUUAGAGAAGGAAACACUUAUGUGUGAAUUUACAGAUCUUGAGGGAAUAGAAUAAGUUACUUUAGGGAUAACAGCGUAAUUUUUUAUCACUAUUUUUAGAGUCAUAAAAAGACUUACGACCUCGAUGUUGAAUUGAGGGGCCGAAUAUCAUAAGUGAAUUGCGGGGGUCUGUUCGACCUUUAAUACCUC
RNAcentral lists this ribosomal RNA (391 nucleotides) under Macrostylis sp. n. SYSTCO 4. RNAcentral's name for it is "partial 16S ribosomal RNA". Lineage: Eukaryota; Metazoa; Arthropoda; Malacostraca; Isopoda; Macrostylidae. The record is from RNAcentral.